AUGCACUCACCUCUGGUUUUCUCUUCUUCUCAGAUUGAAGGUGCACUGGAAGACUCUCCGGUUGGUAAGACUUGCAUCUUAUUUUGUUUGUUGCUUUGCACGUUUAAGUUUACUGGCGUUGAAUAUGUUUUUAUUACGAAUCUGAAACACAAUCGUGAACAUCAGUGCGAGGAAGUGAGCGAAGGUCAUGAACAUGUGAUUGAAGCGAGGUUCGCGAUUGGAGACGAAGAUGUAUCAGAAGUGUUGAAUCGAAGGCGGUGUUCGAAGAAGAAGAAGUAG
Vicia faba (fava bean) is the source of this 279-nucleotide non-coding RNA. The record is from the annotation of a GenBank genome assembly. Lineage: Eukaryota; Viridiplantae; Streptophyta; Magnoliopsida; Fabales; Fabaceae.